CUGAUCAGCCCUCCGCGUGAGUGAUGAAGGCCUUCGGAUCUGUAAAGCUCUUUUGGCUGGGAAGAAAAGGCCCCGGGCAAUACCUGGUCCCGCUGACCGGACCUGCCAAAUAAGCCCCCGCUUACUUCUUGCCCGCCGCCCCGGGAAUUAA
This 151-nucleotide ribosomal RNA is filed under the name uncultured soil bacterium. Its description in RNAcentral is "partial 16S ribosomal RNA". The record is from RNAcentral.